RNAcentral lists this ribosomal RNA (301 nucleotides) under uncultured bacterium. Its description in RNAcentral is "partial 16S ribosomal RNA". It matches the Rfam family "Bacterial small subunit ribosomal RNA", at positions 509 to 807 of the family's 1533-position model. The record is from RNAcentral.
CAGUCGCCGCGGUAAUACAGAGGGUGCAAGCGUUAAUCGGAAUUACUGGGCGUAAAGCGCGCGUAGGUGGUUUGUUAAGUUGGAUGUGAAAUCCCCGGGCUCAACCUGGGAACUGCAUCCAAAACUGGCAAGCUAGAGUAUGGUAGAGGGUGGUGGAAUUUCCUGUGUAGCGGUGAAAUGCGUAGAUAUAGGAAGGAACACCAGUGGCGAAGGCGACCACCUGGACUGAUACUGACACUGAGGUGCGAAAGCGUGUGGAGCAAACAGGAUUAGAUACCCGUGUAGUCCCUGUCUCUUAUAC